RNAcentral lists this unclassified non-coding RNA (203 nucleotides) under Hevea brasiliensis (rubber tree). The record is from RNAcentral. Lineage: Eukaryota; Viridiplantae; Streptophyta; Magnoliopsida; Malpighiales; Euphorbiaceae.
GAGCAAGGAAGCUCGUUUGCUGGAUAUUGGUUGAGUGAAAGGACCAUCCGGAAUGCAUGUUGGAUGUCCGGUGGUCUUCCCGGUGGCGAUGCGUCGUCCAGUCGCCUCAAAUGCAGCAAAUUUAUGGCUCUCAAAGCCAUGCGAUGCUGCUGGUUGUGCGACAGGAGACUGGCAGCUUGUUGCUGCUGCUGGCUAGUUCUGGU